This 252-nucleotide ribosomal RNA is filed under the name uncultured bacterium. RNAcentral describes it as "partial 16S ribosomal RNA". It matches the Rfam family "Bacterial small subunit ribosomal RNA", at positions 524 to 776 of the family's 1533-position model. The record is from RNAcentral.
UACGUAGGGUGCGAGCGUUGUCCGGAAUUAUUGGGCGUAAAGGGCUCGUAGGCGGUUUGUCACGUCGGGAGUGAAAACUCGGGGCUUAACCCCGAGCCUGCUUCCGAUACGGGCAGACUAGAGGUAUGCAGGGGAGAACGGAAUUCCUGGUGUAGCGGUGAAAUGCGCAGAUAUCAGGAGGAACACCGGUGGCGAAGGCGGGUCUCUGGGCCGAUACUGACGCUGAGGAGCGAAAGUGUGGGAGCGAACAGG